This 174-nucleotide transfer RNA is filed under the name Marmota monax (woodchuck). RNAcentral's name for it is "tRNA.SeC". Lineage: Eukaryota; Metazoa; Chordata; Mammalia; Rodentia; Sciuridae. The record is from RNAcentral.
GAGGAUGUGGCUCAGUGGUAAAGUGCCUGUGGCUUCAAUCCCCAGUACCACCACAAAUAAAUAAAUAAAUAAAAUAUGAUUUUAAAAGGGUAGCGGGGGUGGCUGGGAUGUAGCUCAUUGGUAGGAUGCUUACUAGCAUUUGCUAAGCCCUGGGUUCAAUCCCCAGUACUCCCA